UUGCUGUUGCAAUUAGACAAGGCAAAUCUCAUGGCUAGUCCAGAGUUUAUGUAGGGGAGGAUUACAUAAGAGAAUUACAAGGGCAUGAAAACAUAGGCCUGAUUCAUUGAUGGUAAUUACCAUAACAAACUACCACUGACACCACUUUGUUCUUCCUUGUAUUAUGAGUAAGUGCUGUAAGAGGAAAUAUAAAUAAGGGACAGAGUCGAGUUUAAAGGGUGGAAAGAUUUCUUAUUUGAGUGAGAACAUUCAGAGAAGAUUUUAUGAUAUCAUUUGGGUUAGAUUUCAGCAGUAUUUGCAAAAUGAUCUCUAAAUCUUUCAUUGCUUCUACAUAUGUUAACUGAAAAUUUUCUGUAAAGAACUUUUAAACAUCAGCCAGGGCUAUUUCAAAAGAUAUUGUCAAGAGUAAAAAGAGAAGUCAUAGACUGGAGGAAAAUAUUUACAAAAGAAAGACAUACCUGAUAAUGGACUAUUAUCCAAAAUAUAUAAAGAACCCUUCAAACUCAACAGUAAGGAUAAAUACUAAAUUGUUUUACU
Sapajus apella (tufted capuchin) is the source of this 537-nucleotide long non-coding RNA. RefSeq lists it as uncharacterized. The record is from RefSeq and is a predicted model, not a curated record. The transcript is spliced from 3 exons. Lineage: Eukaryota; Metazoa; Chordata; Mammalia; Primates; Cebidae.